AUUGAACGCUGGCGGAAUGCUUUACACAUGCAAGUCGAACGGUAGAGGGGGCAACCCCUCGAGAGUGGCGAACGGGUGAGUAAUAUAUCGGAACGUGCCCAGUCGUGGGGGAUAACGUAGCGAAAGUUACGCUAAUACCGCAUACGAUCUACGGAUGAAAGCGGGGGACUCGCAAGAGCCUCGCGCGAUUGGAGCGGCCGAUAUCAGAUUAGGUAGUUGGUGGGGUAAAGGCUCACCAAGCCAACGAUCUGUAGCUGGUCUGAGAGGACGACCAGCCACACUGGAACUGAGACACGGUCCAGACUCCUACGGGAGGCAGCAGUGGGGAAUUUUGGACAAUGGACGCAAGUCUGAUCCAGCCAUUCCGCGUGCAGGAUGAAGGCCCUCGGGUUGUAAACUGCUUUUGUACGGAACGAAAGGUCUGGGUUAAUACCCUGGGCUCAUGACGGUACCGUAAGAUAAGCACCGGCUAACUACGUGCCAGCAGCCGC
RNAcentral lists this ribosomal RNA (491 nucleotides) under uncultured bacterium. RNAcentral's name for it is "bacterial SSU rRNA". It matches the Rfam family "Bacterial small subunit ribosomal RNA", at positions 30 to 518 of the family's 1533-position model. The record is from RNAcentral.